GAGGAGGAGGAGGAGGAGGAGGAGGAGGAGGAGGCACAAAACACUCUCCUCCCUAUCGUGGCAAUCAGGUGAGGCGCAAACAGACUUCACCGAGGAAAGUUGACAGUUCGAACCCCGGCGGAAUGUAAAACACCUGCCGGGGAAGGUAAGCUGAGGGGAGGGAGAGUAGGUGAGGUGAGGGAAGGGAAAGGAAGGUGAGCUAAGGGAAGGGAGAGGAGGGAAAGGCUAGGUAAGGAUAGGAUAGGAUAGGUUAGGUUAGGUUAGGAAAGGUUAGGUAGGUAAGGUUAGGGAAAGGAAGGUGAGCUAAGGGAAGGGAGAGGAGGGAAAGGCUAGGUAAGGAUAGGAAAGGUUAGGUCAGGUUAAGUUAGGUAAGGUUAGGGAAGGUAAAGGAAGGUGAGCUAAGGGAAGGGAAAGGAAGGUUAGGAUAGAUUAGGUAAGGUUAGGGAAGGGAAAGGAAGGAAUGGCAGGGUAAGGAUAGGAUAAGAUAGGAAAGGAUAGGUUAGGUUAGGUAAGGUUAGGAAAGGUAAAGGAAGGUGAGCUAAGGGAAGGGAAAGGAAGGAAUGGCUAGGUAAGGAUAGGAUGAGAUAGGAAAGGAUAGGAUAGGUUAGGGAGGAGUGAAAGGGGGAAGAAAAGGAAAGGGAAGGGAAGGGACAGGAAGGGAAGGUAAGGUGAGGGAAGGGAAGGGAAGGUAGGGAGUGGGAAGGAAAAUUAAGGUAACGGAAGGUAAGAUGAAGUAAAGUAAGGGAAGGGAAGGUAAAAUCAAGUAAGAAAGGUAAGUUGGGGUAAGGUAGAUAAGGUAAGGGAAGUUAUGGGAAGGUGAGGGAAGGUUAGCUGAGAGAAGAUAAGUUGAGGAAAUGUAAGGUUAGGUAGGGAAUGGAGGAUAAGGUAAGGUAAGGGAAGGGAAGGGAAGUUAAGGAAAGGUUACAUAAGUUAAGGUUAGGAAAGGUAAGGUGAGGGAAAGGUAAAGUAACAUAAGGUAAGGUUAGAUAAGUUAAGGUUAGGAAAGGCAAGCUGAGGGAUGGAAAGGUAACAUUAGGUAUGGGAAGGGAAGGGAAGGAAAGUUAAGGAAAGGUUAGAUAAGGUUAGGAAAGGUAAGGUGAGGGAAAGGUAAAGUAACAUAAGGUAAGGUUAGAUAAGUUAAGGUUAGGAAAGGCAAGCUGAGGGAUGGAAAGGUAACGUUAGGUAUGGGAAGGGAAAGGAAGGGAAGGGAAAGGAAGGUAACGGAAGGGAAUGGAAAGGAGGGGAGAAGAAGGGGAAGAAGGAAAGGUAAGGGAAUGGAAAGGAGGGGAAAAGAAGGGAAAGAAGGAAAGGGAAGGGAAGAGCUGCGUAGGUUGGGUUAGGUUAGGUAAGAUAAGAUUAUUAAUAAUGUAAUGUGUCUAUUAUAAUGUACAUGUGUAUGUAUGACUGUACUUGUUGCGACACCCGGUCGGAGUCCCACAACAGGAUGUCUAACAACACGUCGUGCUUUUGGCCGUGGGAAGCUGUGAUGAACUGACACUAGGAUCAGCAAAUGAUGACUUUUAUCAGCCGUCAUCAACCGGGACCCACACCCUUCCGGACGAACUACAAGCAAAUAAAGCGGGCGAACAACGCGGAGAAGGGAGAGAAGACGGGUGACGGGCAGGCGAGCGGCUGAUGAAAGUCACCAUUUGCUGAUCCUAGUGUCAGUAAGGUAAGGUAAGACACUGUAAGGUAAAUUUAAGUAAGGUAAGGCAAGAUAAGGUAAGGUUACAUAUAGCAAGGUGAGGUGAGUUGAAUCAAGGCUGGUUAGUAAGCUAAGUAAGGUAAAGUGAUUCAAAAUAAGGUAAGGUAAGGUACGACAAAGUUACGUAAGGUAAGGUUGGGUAAGGUAAAAAGUAAUGCAAGGUAUGGUAAGGUAAGGAAAUGUAGCGUAAGGUAAGGCCAAGAUAGGUAAGGUAAUCAAAAGUGGAGCAUGGUAAGGUAAAGUAAGGUAAGGUAGUAUAAGGCAAGGUAAGCCAAAAUUAAGUAAGGUAAAAUAAGGUAAGGUAGUGUAAGGUAAGGUAAGGCAAAAUAAAGUAAGGUAAAAUAAGGUAAGGUAGUGUAAGGUAAGGUAAGGCAAAAUAAAGUAAGGUUAGGUAAGGUAGUGUAAGGUAAGGUAAGGCAAAAUAAAGUAAGGUAAAAUAAGGUAAGGUAGUGUAAGGUAAGGUAAGGCAAAAUAAAGUAAGGUUAGGUAAGGUAGUGUAAGGUACGGUAAGGCAAAAUAAAGUAAGGUAAAAUAAGGUAAGGUAGUGUAAGGUAAGGUAAGGCAAAAUAAAGUAAGGUAAGGUAAGGUAAGGUAAGGCAAAAUAAAGUAAGGUUAGGUAAGGUGAGGUUCGGGCAACACCUCAGAGAAUCGGAAAUCAUUCUCUCAUCCUUUCCUGUGGUGUGUGUGUGUGUGUGUG
Eriocheir sinensis (Chinese mitten crab) is the source of this 2402-nucleotide long non-coding RNA. RefSeq lists it as uncharacterized. The record is from RefSeq and is a predicted model, not a curated record. The transcript has 4 exons. Lineage: Eukaryota; Metazoa; Arthropoda; Malacostraca; Decapoda; Varunidae.